This 72-nucleotide transfer RNA is filed under the name Cryptomonas sp. RNAcentral's name for it is "tRNA-Thr". It matches the Rfam family "tRNA". Rfam says of the family: Transfer RNA (tRNA) molecules are approximately 80 nucleotides in length. Their secondary structure includes four short double-helical elements and three loops (D, anti-codon, and T loops). Further hydrogen bonds mediate the characteristic L-shaped molecular structure. tRNAs have two regions of fundamental functional importance: the anti-codon, which is responsible for specific mRNA codon recognition, and the 3' end, to which the tRNAs corresponding amino acid is attached (by aminoacyl-tRNA synthetases). tRNAs cope with the degeneracy of the genetic code in two manners: having more than one tRNA (with a specific anti-codon) for a particular amino acid; and 'wobble' base-pairing, i.e. permitting non-standard base-pairing at the 3rd anti-codon position. The record is from RNAcentral. Lineage: Eukaryota; Cryptophyceae; Cryptomonadales; Cryptomonadaceae.
GGCGUUAUAACUCAGGGGUAGAGUGUUGCACUAGUAAUGCAAAUGUCACGAGUUCAAAUCUCGUUAAUGCCU